This 508-nucleotide ribosomal RNA is filed under the name uncultured Glomus. RNAcentral's name for it is "SSU rRNA". It matches the Rfam family "Eukaryotic small subunit ribosomal RNA", at positions 569 to 1078 of the family's 1831-position model. Lineage: Eukaryota; Fungi; Glomeromycota; Glomeromycetes; Glomerales; Glomeraceae. The record is from RNAcentral.
AGCAGCCGCGGUAAUUCCAGCUCCAAUAGCGUAUAUUAAAGUUGUUGCAGUUAAAAAGCUCGUAGUUGAAUUUCGGGGUUAGUAGGUUGGUCAUGCCUCUGGUAUGUACUGGUCUCAUUGAUUCCUCCUUCCUGAUGAGCCGUAAUGCCAUUAAUUUGGUGUUGCGGGGAAUUUGGACUGUUACUUUGAAAAAAUUAGAGUGUUUAAAGCAAGCUAACGCUUGAAUACAUUAGCAUGGAAUAAUGAAAUAGGACGUUCGAUCCUAUUUUGUUGGUUUCUAGGAUUGACGUAAUGAUUAAUAGGGAUAGUUGGGGGCAUUAGUAUUCAAUUGUCAGAGGUGAAAUUCUUGGAUUUAUUGAAGACUAACUACUGCGAAAGCAUUUGCCAAGGAUGUUUUCAUUAAUCAAGAACGAAAGUUAGGGGAUCGAAGACGAUCAGAUACCGUCGUAGUCUUAACCAUAAACUAUGCCGACUAGGGAUCGGAUGAUGUUAAUUUUUUAAUGACUCA